RNAcentral lists this ribosomal RNA (434 nucleotides) under uncultured Lachnospiraceae bacterium. Its description in RNAcentral is "partial 16S ribosomal RNA". It matches the Rfam family "Bacterial small subunit ribosomal RNA", at positions 341 to 792 of the family's 1533-position model. The record is from RNAcentral. Lineage: Bacteria; Bacillati; Bacillota; Clostridia; Lachnospirales; Lachnospiraceae.
ACGGGAGGCAGCAGUGGGGAAUAUUGCACAAUGGGGGAAACCCUGAUGCAGCGACGCCGCGUGAGUGAAGAAGUAUUUCGGUAUGUAAAGCUCUAUCAGCAGGGAAGAAAAUGACGGUACCUGACUAAGAAGCCCCGGCUAACUACGUGGCAGCAGCCGCGGUAAUACGUAGGGGGCAAGCGUUAUCCGGAUUUACUGGGUGUAAAGGGAGCGUAGACGGCGAUGCAAGUCUGAUGUGAAAGCCCGGGGCUCAACCCCGGCACUGCAUUGGAAACUGUGUUGCUAGAGUGCAGGAGAGGUAAGUGGAAUUCCUAGUGUAGCGGUGAAAUGCGUAGAUAUUAGGAGGAACACCAGUGGCGAAGGCGGCUUACUGGACAGUAACAGACACUGAGGCUCGAAAGCGUGGGGAGCAAACAGGAUUAGAUACCCUGGUA